CGAGAAUCCCGCUUCGGCGGGAAAGUAGAGUGGCAGACGGGUGAGUAAUGCAUAGGUAAUCUACCCUCGAGUGGGGGAUAACCUACCGAAAGGUGGGCUAAUCCCGCAUAAUAUUCCGACAUGCAAGUAUCGGGAUCAAAGGGGGGGACUCCAGUUCGCUGGAACCCCUCGCUUGUGGAGGAGCCUAUGUCCUAUUAGCUUGUUGGUAGGGUAAAAGCCUACCAAGGCGAUGAUGGGUAGCCGGGCUGAGAGGCUGUCCGGCCACACUGGAACUGAAACACGGUCCAGACUCCUACGGGAGGCAGCAGUGGGGAAUUUUGCGCAAUGGGCGAAAGCCUGACGCAGCGACGCCGUGUGAGGGAUGACAGUCUUCGUGAUUGUAAACCUCUGUCAGGAAGGAUUAAAUGUAUAGGUGUUAAUACCACCUAUACUUGACUUAACUUCCAGAGGAAGCCCCGGCUAACUACGUGCCAGCAGCCGCGGUAAUACGUAGGGGGUAAGCGUUACUCGGAUUUACUGGGCGUAAAGCGAAUGUAGGCGGUCAUAUAAGUCAGAGGUGAAAGCCCUCAGCUCAACUGAGGAAUUGCCUUUGAUACUGUGUGACUAGAGGACAGGAGAGGAAAGCGGAAUUCCCGGUGUAGCGGUGGAAUGCGUAGAUAUCGGGAGGAACACCUGAGGCGAAGGCGGUUUUCUGGACUGUUCCUGACGCUGAGAUUCGAAAGCUAGGGGAGCAAACAGGAUUAGAUACCCUGGUAGUCCUAGCCGUAAACGAUGGAUACUAGAUCUUGCAUGAUUUUGCUU
This 801-nucleotide ribosomal RNA is filed under the name uncultured bacterium. RNAcentral describes it as "bacterial SSU rRNA". It matches the Rfam family "Bacterial small subunit ribosomal RNA", at positions 67 to 837 of the family's 1533-position model. The record is from RNAcentral.